Molecule: ribosomal RNA, 407 nt
Filed under: uncultured bacterium
Lineage: Bacteria
Description: partial 16S ribosomal RNA
Rfam family: Bacterial small subunit ribosomal RNA
Source: RNAcentral
AUUGAACGCUGGCGGUAGGCCUAACACAUGCAAGUCGAGCGGAGCGGCGGACGGGUGAGUAAUUCCUAGGAGUCUGCCUGGUCGUGGGGGAUAACGUCCGGAAACGGGCGCUAAUCCCUCAUACUCUCAGAUGACCCUAGGUCGGAUUAGCUCGUUGGUGGGGUAAAGGCCUACCAAGGCGACGAUCCGAAACUGGGCUGAGAGGAUGAUCAGUCACACUGGAACUGAGACACGGUCCAGACUCCUACGGGAGGCAGAAGUGGGGAAUAUUGGACAAUGGGCGAAAGCCUGAUCCAGCCAUGCCGCGUGUGUGAAGAAGGUCUUCGGAUUGUAAAGCACUUUAAGUUGGGAGGCGUUACCAACAGAAUAAGCACCGGCUAACUUCGUGCCAGCAGCCGCGGUAAUUC